RNAcentral lists this ribosomal RNA (460 nucleotides) under uncultured bacterium. Its description in RNAcentral is "partial 16S ribosomal RNA". It matches the Rfam family "Bacterial small subunit ribosomal RNA", at positions 338 to 795 of the family's 1533-position model. The record is from RNAcentral.
CCUACGGGAGGCAGCAGUGAGGAAUAUUGGUCAAUGGACGAGAGUCUGAACCAGCCAAGUAGCGUGAAGGAUGACUGCCCUAUGGGUUGUAAACUUCUUUUAUAUGGGAAUAAAACGUUCCACGUGUGGGAUUUUGUAUGUACCAUAUGAAUAAGGAUCGGCUAACUCCGUGCCAGCAGCCGCGGUAAUACGGAGGAUCCGAGCGUUAUCCGGAUUUAUUGGGUUUAAAGGGAGCGUAGGUGGAUUGUUAAGUCAGUUGUGAAAGUUUGCGGCUCAACCGUAAAAUUGCAGUUGAGACUGGCAGUCUUGAGUACAGUAGAGGUGGGCGGAAUUCGUGGUGUAGCGGUGAAAUGCUUAGAUAUCACGAAGAACUCCGAUUGCGAAGGCAGUUCACUAGACUGCAACUGACACUGAGGCUCGAAAGUGUGGGUAUCAAACAGGAUUAGAUACCCCUGUAGUC